AUUGAACGCUGGCGGAAUGCUUUACACAUGCAAGUCGAACGGCAGCACGGACCUCGGUCUGGUGGCGAGUGGCGAACGAGUGAGUAAUACAUCGGAACGUGCCCAAUCGUGGGGGAUAACGUAGCGGAAGCUACGCUAAUACCGCAUACGAUCUAAGGAUGAAAGCGGGGGAUCGCAAGACCUCGCGCGGUUGGAGCGGCCGAUGGCAGAUUAGGUAGUUGGUAGGGUAAAGGCCUACCAAGCCGACGAUCUGUAGCUGGUCUGAGAGGAUGAUCAGCGAAACUGGGACUGAGACACGGCCCAGACUCCUACGGGAGGCAGCAGUGGGGAAUUUUGGACAAUGGACGCAAGUCUGGUCCAGCCAUUCCGCGUGCAGGAUGAAGGCCCUCGGGUUGUAAACUGCUUUUGUACAGAACGAAAAGGCUCUGGUUAAUACCUAGGGCUCAUGACGGUACUGUAAGAAUAAGCACCGGCUAACUACGUGCCAGCCGCCGCCGUAA
This 500-nucleotide ribosomal RNA is filed under the name uncultured bacterium. RNAcentral's name for it is "partial 16S ribosomal RNA". It matches the Rfam family "Bacterial small subunit ribosomal RNA", at positions 30 to 523 of the family's 1533-position model. The record is from RNAcentral.